Molecule: unclassified non-coding RNA, 365 nt
Filed under: soil metagenome
Description: partial contains 5.8S ribosomal RNA, internal transcribed spacer 2, and large subunit ribosomal RNA
Rfam family: 5.8S ribosomal RNA (bases 1-120)
Source: RNAcentral
GAUGAAGAACGCAGCGAAAUGCGAUAAGUAAUGUGAAUUGCAGAAUUCAGUGAACCAUCGAAUCUUUGAACGCACAUUGCGCCCGCCAGUAUUCUGGCGGGCAUGCCUGUCCGAGCGUCAUCUCAACCCUCGAGCCCCCCCGGGGGCUCGGCGUUGGGGACCGGCCCCGCCCCAGGGCGCGCCGCCCCCCAAAUCCAGUGGCGGUCCCGCCGCAGCCUCCCCUGCGCAGUAGCUUGCACUCUCGCACCGGAGAGCGGCGCGGCCACGCCGUAAAACCCCCCGACCACGGAGCCCCGGCUCCUGAACGUUGACCUCGGAUCAGGUAGGAAUACCCGCUGAACUUAAGCAUAUCAAUAAGCGGAGGA